AUGGUCUCCAGGCUCCUGUGCUGUGUGGCCCUCUGCCUGCUAGCAGCAGGCCCUUUGGACACAGCUGUUUCUCAGACUCCAAAAUAUCUCCUCACACAAGUCGGCAAUAAAGCAACUAUGAAAUGUGAACAAGAUCUGAAUCAUGAAGCUAUGUACUGGUAUAAGCAGGACUCUGAGAAUUCGCUGAAGAUUUUGUUUUCCUACAACAAUAAGGUGCCCAUUUUAAAUGAAACAGGUUCAAAUCGUUUCUCACCUGAGUCUCCAGACAAAGCACAUUUAAACAUUCAUAUCAAGGCCCUGAAGGCAGAAGACUCGGCUGUGUAUCUCUGUGCCAGCAGUGUAGACACAGCCUUGCAAAGCCACUGCCUGCCUGUGCACAAACCUCAUGUGCCCUCAGGAAACUGUGGGGACAGCAUGCUCACUGCUCCCCAAGGCUCUGUUCCUCAUUUCGUGGGUUGA
Molecule: non-coding RNA, 459 nt
Organism: Ochotona curzoniae (black-lipped pika)
Lineage: Eukaryota; Metazoa; Chordata; Mammalia; Lagomorpha; Ochotonidae
Source: the annotation of a RefSeq genome assembly